This 446-nucleotide long non-coding RNA is filed under the name Malus domestica (apple). RNAcentral describes it as "long non-coding RNA (MDOM_LNC017084)". Lineage: Eukaryota; Viridiplantae; Streptophyta; Magnoliopsida; Rosales; Rosaceae. The record is from RNAcentral.
AAAACAUUCCCUACAAGUUCCCUACAUGAAUUGCAUAAUAGAGAUACAAGCAAGAAUCAUUAAGUUCUAUGAAAAACAUAAGCAUUGACAAGGCACUCGUUACUAUGAUUUGCAUGAAACUUAUGCCAAGAAUUUACUUAACGUGAUUGUGACUAGCAACCUUCACUACUUGUGAAUAUAAGUUCAUAACGAUUAGGUGAAACUCCCUUAUAUUCUAGCGUUAAAUUCAUGCAUGAAAAGUAAGCGUGCACUCUCAACCAACAUACACAAAUCAUUUUUUAUACGAUCGGAUAAGUAAAUUGAAUUCACAACUUAUGAAUCACAACUGGAUGUAAUCAAAUCAUAUUGCAAGUAUGAACAUGGUUUCGAAUCACCCCCCAACUAAGAGGGGUUUAGUUCCUCAUACUCACAAAGCAAAGAUACAUAAAAUUAGACAUUAAAAUCAA